RNAcentral lists this ribosomal RNA (502 nucleotides) under uncultured bacterium. Its description in RNAcentral is "bacterial SSU rRNA". It matches the Rfam family "Bacterial small subunit ribosomal RNA", at positions 30 to 518 of the family's 1533-position model. The record is from RNAcentral.
AUUGAACGCUGGCGGCAGGCCUAACACAUGCAAGUCGAACGGUAACAGGAAGCAGCUUGCUGCUUCGCUGACGAGUGGCGGACGGGUGAGUAAUGUCUGGGAAACUGCCUGAUGGAGGGGGAUAACUACUGGAACGGUAGCUAAUACCGCAUAACGUCGCAAGACCAAAGAGGGGGACCUUCGGGCCUCUUGCCAUCAGAUGUGCCCAGAUGGGAUUAGCUUGUUGGUGGGGUAACGGCUCACCAAGGCGACGAGUCCCUAGCUGGUCUGAGAGGAUGACCAGCCACACUGGAACUGAGACACGGUCCAGACUCCUACGGGAGGCAGCAGUGGGGAAUAUUGCACAAUGGGCGCAAGCCUGAUGCAGCCAUGCCGCCGUGUAUGAAGAAGGCCUUCGGGUUGUAAAGUACUUUCAGCGGGGAGGAAGGUGUUGUGGUUAAUAACCGCAGCAAUUGACGUUACCCGCAGAAGAAGCACCGGCUAACUCCGUGCCAGCCGCCGC